AUAGGCCGGGUGUGUAAGCGUUGCGAGACGUUGAGCUAACCGGUACUAAUUGCCCGAGAGGCUUAGCCA
RNAcentral lists this ribosomal RNA (69 nucleotides) under Basfia succiniciproducens. RNAcentral describes it as "23S rRNA. Bacterial LSU". Lineage: Bacteria; Pseudomonadati; Pseudomonadota; Gammaproteobacteria; Pasteurellales; Pasteurellaceae. The record is from RNAcentral.